RNAcentral lists this ribosomal RNA (375 nucleotides) under uncultured organism. RNAcentral describes it as "partial 16S ribosomal RNA". It matches the Rfam family "Bacterial small subunit ribosomal RNA", at positions 527 to 896 of the family's 1533-position model. The record is from RNAcentral.
GUAGGUGGCAAGCGUUGUCCGGGAAUUAUUGGGGCGUAAAGCGCGCGCAGGCGGUUCUUUAAGUCUGAUGUGAAAGCCCACGGGCUCAACCGUGGAGGGUCAUUGGAAACUGGAGAACUUGAGUACAGAAGAGGAAAGCGGAAUUCCACGUGUAGCGGUGAAAUGCGUAGAGAUGUGGAGGAACACCAGUGGCGAAGGCGGCUUUCUGGUCUGUAACUGACGCUGAGGCGCGAAAGCGUGGGGAGCAAACAGGAUUAGAUACCCUGGUAGUCCGCGCCGUAAACGAUGAGUGCUAAGUGUUAGGGGGUUUCCGCCCCUCAGUGCUGCAGCUAACGCAUUAAGCACUCCGCCUGGGGAGUACGGCCGCAAAGGCUG